Oryctolagus cuniculus (rabbit) is the source of this 1713-nucleotide non-coding RNA. NCBI's taxonomy places the organism in Eukaryota, Metazoa, Chordata, Mammalia, Lagomorpha, Leporidae. The record is from RefSeq and is a predicted model, not a curated record.
GCCGAGCAGCACCGUGGGUUUCGGGGAUCGCGCUGCUUUCCCGGAGACUUGCUUGGGUCUCAGCCUCCCUGGCUGGAAGCUGACCCUGAGGGCCCUCCCGGGUCACACCCUCUGCCGCUCAGUGAUCCUCUGGGCGAGGGAGCGAGGAUCCCUGGGUCUUUGUGCACGUGUCUUUGUGCCUGCUUGUGAGAGGGGUGGAGGGGAGUGUCGCUUUGGGGUUGCCAUAGCAACUACUUCUCUGUCACCCCAUUGCUCCCAAAGGUUUGGGCGGUCGCUUGUGCAAAUUUACAUAUAUCUGCAUAUUAUUCGGGUAGAGGUGGAGCAGGAACUUGUUUGGGCAACUAUCCCUGGACAGUUUCCCAUCUGAUGGGCACGUGGGCUGCGCACGUGUGAGCGUUUGGGAUAUCCACGGUCUAGACUGAAGGCAUGGAUCUCUCAGAGCUGCGAUUAGGCUUCGUGGCUGCCUCUCCCUGGCCUAGCUGCCCUCCUGGGGGCAGGAGCCAGGCUGGGGACUCUUUCCUCUGGGACUACACUGCAUGGAACUGAGGGCUCCGUCUUCAGCCUGAGCUUGGGCGUGCAGCCUUGGGUCAAGCCAAGUCCCUAUGAGAGCUGGAUACGGGCAGACUGCCUGGCCUCGCUAGGCCUCCUCUGCUCCUAUGCUAAGCGGGUUCCAAGGCCCCAGGCAGACCACGUUGCUGAAGGAGCCUCAGAGGAGAGCUGCCGCCGCCAGGGCCCAGCGCAGGGGCAGAAGCUAGUUUCCGUCCUGCAGGGGGCCCGCCAGGGCCACACAGAGGGGAGGGCAUACAUUUUUGUGGCUGAAUGAACCUCAGAGCCUACCGAGGAACAGAGAGAGACAAAAACGCUGCUGUCUCUCUGGAGCCAGCCCCUCCUGUCACCCCUUCACCCAGCUGGAUCCUGAAGUGGGGAGGGGAAGGAAGAGGAGCCGGGCCUUGGAGAUCCAGCUGCACCACAUCUGCAAGAGACCUGCCUGGGUUUUUCUGGGCUCUGGGUCUCUAGGAUGCUAAUGAUCAUGAAUAUUCAUAAAGAGGCAGCCAAGCUCCCUGGGGGAGAGGAAGGGGCUGCCGCUCUGGAGGACCUCCGUCCUGGAGGCUUGGAAGGGGCCGUCCCUGCAUCCUGGCGGGCGACCCUGGCCCCAGCCACUUUCCCCACUCCUCAGCGCUCAUCUCAGUCCUCGGGUCUCCCACCGCCCUGGGGGGUUCAUCACACACUUUGCAGAUGGCAGGGAACCGCUUGGCUCAGUGUCACAGUGGCAGCUGAACCUUCAGACCCUGAGAUGUCAGGGUGUGUUUCAGGGUGCUCAGCGGGAGCCCAGGAGCCCCGCCCACUGAUGCAAGGCACGCACGGAGGAGGGUGGCCCUGGCCUCCUUGGGUUCCUGCAGGGAGAGAGAAGGUGUCGCCCAUCCCUCCUCCCUGCCUCCUACAGCCUCAUAAAUUCCCUUUAGGCGACGGGUGAGAUUCUUUCAUUGCCCCUUAUUACCUCCUUCCAUUAAAGUCGAUAAUCUCUCACAAUCACUCACAACAAAUGUCACCGCGAUGGCCAGGGGGAGGGACGGGGGAGGGCACACGGGGGGUACUGCUCCUGGAGAGAGGUGGGCUCCUUUCCAUCUGGCCCCCCGGCCUCUAGGACAACACAAAACGCCAGGGGCCUCACUGGGAUUGGGUGGCCUGGGGAUCUCCUUGCCGGAAGGUGUG